GACGAACGCUGGCGGCGUGCUUAACACAUGCAAGUCGAACGGAAAGGCCCUGCUUUUGUGGGGUGCUCGAGUGGCGAACGGGUGAGUAACACGUGAGUAACCUGCCCUUGACUUUGGGAUAACUUCAGGAAACUGGGGCUAAUACCGGAUAGGAGCUCCUGCUGCAUGGUGGGGGUUGGAAAGUUUCGGCGGUUGGGGAUGGACUCGCGGCUUAUCAGCUUGUUGGUGGGGUAGUGGCUUACCAAGGCUUUGACGGGUAGCCGGCCUGAGAGGGUGACCGGCCACAUGGGGACUGAGAUACGGCCCAGACUCCUGCGGGAGGCAGCAGUGGGGAAUAGUGAACGAUGGGCGGAAGCCUGAUGCAGCAACGCCGCGUGCGGGAUGACGGCCUUCGGGUUGUAAACCGCUUUCGCCUGUGACGAAGCGUGAGUGACGGUAAUGGGUAAAGAAGCACCGGCUAACUACGUG
Molecule: ribosomal RNA, 468 nt
Filed under: uncultured bacterium
Lineage: Bacteria
Description: partial 16S ribosomal RNA
Rfam family: Bacterial small subunit ribosomal RNA
Source: RNAcentral